Molecule: ribosomal RNA, 444 nt
Filed under: uncultured bacterium
Lineage: Bacteria
Description: bacterial SSU rRNA
Rfam family: Bacterial small subunit ribosomal RNA
Source: RNAcentral
GACGAACGCUGGCGGCGUGCUUAACACAUGCAAGUCGAACGGUAAGGCCCUUCGGGGUACACGAGUGGCGAACGGGUGAGUAACACGUGGGUGAUCUGCCCUGCACUUCGGGAUAAGCUUGGGAAACUGGGUCUAAUACCGGAUAGGACCACGGUCUGCAUGGAUUGUGGUGGAAAGCUUUUGCGGUGUGGGAUGGGCCCGCGGCCUAUCAGCUUGUUGGUGGGGUGAUGGCCUACCAAGGCGACGACGGGUAGCCGGCCUGAGAGGGUGUCCGGCCACACUGGGACUGAGAUACGGCCCAGACUCCUACGGGAGGCAGCAGUGGGGAAUAUUGCACAAUGGGCGCAAGCCUGAUGCAGCGACGCCGCGUGGGGGAUGACGGCCUUCGGUUGUAACCGUCUUUCAGCAGGGACGAAGGGUGGACUGACGGUACCUGUAGAGAAG